Molecule: ribosomal RNA, 748 nt
Filed under: uncultured bacterium
Lineage: Bacteria
Description: bacterial SSU rRNA
Rfam family: Bacterial small subunit ribosomal RNA
Source: RNAcentral
GAUGAACGCUAGCGGCAGGCCUAAUACAUGCAGGUCGAGCGGCAAGUCGAGGAGUAAUCUGAGACCUAGAGCGGCGCACGGGUGCGUAACGCGUAUGCAACCUACCUUAUACUGGGGGAUAGCCCGGAGAAAUCUGGAUUAAUACCCCAUGGCACAUAUUGAGGGCAUCUGAGAUAUGUUAAAGAUUUAUUGGUAUAAGAUGGGCAUGCGUCUGAUUAGCUAGUUGGCGGUGUAACGGACCACCAAGGCGACGGUCAGUAGGGGUUCUGAGAGGAAGGUCCCCCACACUGGCACUGAGAUACGGGCCAGACUCCUACGGGAGGCAGCAGUAGGGAAUAUUGGGCAAUGGUCGGAAGACUGACCCAGCCAUGCCGCGUGCAGGAAGAAGGCCCUCUGGGUUGUAAACUGCUUUUAUCUGGGAAGAAAAAGGCCAUGCGUGGCAAAUUGCCGGUACCAGAUGAAUAAGCACCGGCUAACUCCGUGCCAGCAGCCGCGGUAAUACGGAGGGUGCAAGCGUUGUCCGGAUUUAUUGGGUUUAAAGGGUGCGUAGGCGGCUGAUUAAGUCAGCGGUGAAAGACUUCGGCUUAACCGGAGCAGUGCCGUUGAUACUGAUUGGCUUGAGUGUUGGAGGGGUACAUGGAAUUGAUGGUGUAGCGGUGAAAUGCAUAGAUACCAUCAGGAACACCGAUAGCGAAGGCAUUGUACUGGCCAACAACUGACGCUGAGGCACGAAAGUGUGGGGAUCGAA